This 857-nucleotide unclassified non-coding RNA is filed under the name Hevea brasiliensis (rubber tree). Lineage: Eukaryota; Viridiplantae; Streptophyta; Magnoliopsida; Malpighiales; Euphorbiaceae. The record is from RNAcentral.
UAUAUGUUGAUGAUAUUGUUAUUAGUAGAAGCAACACUAUAGAAAUUUCAUAUUUGAAAUCUUUUCUUCAUACCCUUUUUCAAACAAAGGAUAUGGGGUUGUUGAAAUAUUUUCGAGGUACUAAAGUAACAAGGUGUAAGAAAGGUUUUUUUUCCCCCAAAAAAAGUAUGUUCCUGACUUAUUGCUAGAAAUAGGAAAAUUGGGUCCUAAGCCUUCUAGUACUCCCAUGACUCCCAAAGUACAACUUAAAAAAGAAGACAAUGAAUUAUUUGGGGACCCUAAACAAAAUAGAAAAUUGGUUGAUAAAUUGAAUUAUAUUACAAUGACCCGACCUGAUAUUGCAUACUCUGUUAAUGUUAUAAAUCAGUUUAUGUCCUCUCCAACAGGCAAUCAUUAGGCAUAACUAAAACAAAUCUUGUGCUACUAGAAGGGAGCUCCAAGACGAAGUCUGUUGUAUGGGAAUCAUGGACACUCAAAUAUUGUUGUUUUUCAAAUGCGGACUAGGCAAGAGUCCAAAGUUGAUCAGAGAUCUACUACAAUGUAUUUUGUUUAUGUGAGAGCAAAUUUCGUAUUAUGAAAAGGCAAGAAGCAAAAUAUGGCUUCUAGAUAUAGUGCAGAAUCGCAAUAAAGUUAUGGCACAGUUUAUGUGUGAGAUAAUGUGGUUGUAUUAAUUAUUGAAUAAAGGUGGUCUUAAGUCUUCGUUGCUAGCCAAGUUGGGGUGCGACAAUUAGGCUGCUCUUUAUGUUAUUUCUAAUCCCGUGUUUCAUGAACAAACUAAAUAUAUUAAGAUUGAUAGUCAUUUUAACACGACUUGUGAAAAUAAACUUUUCCUGAAUCUUGUCAUGAAUAAAAUGACU